Non-coding RNA from Anas platyrhynchos (mallard), 2327 nucleotides. NCBI's taxonomy places the organism in Eukaryota, Metazoa, Chordata, Aves, Anseriformes, Anatidae. The record is from RefSeq and is a predicted model, not a curated record.
UAAUUUUAAACCCACAAUUAGCGUAGCUUGAAUCCUGGCCCAGUUCCAGGCUAAUUCAUUAUAUCCUUCCAAACUGAGCUCCCCUGCUGACUUUACUCGAAAGCAGGAGGCUGGGCCCUCCACCCACCGAUGCCUUUUUGUUAUUCUGCUGUGGGUGUAGGAAAUGGGGUGGCAGGGAGCUGCUGCAGGGUUCCUGCAUGUCCUCUGUCGAGGAGGUGUAGCUGACACGGCCACAGCCCGCCUGCUCUUCUGCCAUGAAAGCAGCAUAGGUGGCAAAAACCCUCAGGAAGCUCUUGGUGCCAUUGGAAGAUGUCAAGUGUGUUGGCCAGGCAGGGAAGGGGCUUGCGGUCUGGCUGCACACUGGGUAUCACGGGAUCAUCUGGGUUGGAAAAGAUCUUCAAGAUACCAAGUCCAUCCAUCAGCCUCGCCAACUGAGUGCCAUCGCUAAACCACGUCCUUUAGUGCUGUGGCCUCUCUCUGAUAUCGCAAGGGUGCAGGUAUCGAGCGAGGUGCCAUCUCUGCGCGUAAACUAACGAGGACGGCUACAUAAAACAGAGCCACGGGGGAUCUGUGCAACAAAUAAUAAAAGCGUGGCUCGCUCUACUGCCAUCAAACUCUCCUCUGGUAACAAAAAGAGCAGAGCAGCUACAGAUGCUUGCUCUGGGAGUGAUCCUGACAUACAUUUCCCCGGAUGAUUCAGAGCCGCUGCUAGUAAUAAUUUGCGUUGGUUUGCUUGCUGCAUCAUUUUGCAGGUUUGUGUGUGUGUACAUGUGCUGCUUGUUAUGGGCUUUGAGCAAGAAUGUGAGUCCACCCAUUGUUUUCUUCUUAUGAAAUAUUUUUUUAAGAGAUUGUGCAUUUUGAAAUGCAGCAAGAUACUAUUUUUCCCCUCUUUGUUUCUUCGAGGAAUGAUAAAGCAGACCAUAGAUUUGUCUUCUGCAACUCUGACAUGAAAAGGAGAUGUGGUGACUUAAGUAAAACAAGUUUUGAACCAAAUGUUCUCAAAAUUCAAAGGCUUAAGUCACCCUGAAAUAAGAAAUGGAGGAAACCCAUUUUAGGGCAAGUUGUCAGUAUCCGAGCCAUAUUUCCUUCUGUCCAAAUGAUUCUCUGUGGGGUGGCUCCUCAGGGAAGGAGGGCUCACUGUGAGUCCACUGUCUGCUCACAGACCUAAAAAACAUCAGCAGGACUCACAGCUCACUCAGCGAUCCCAUGAAAACAUUUUUACAGACAAACGUGCUUCUCUUACAUUCUAUGAAUUUUGUUAAAAUCUUGAGGGUUUUGUGUAUUUUUUUUUUUUUUAAUGUGAAGUACUGAUUUGCUCUGCACUUUUGGACGUCUCUGUCUACCUCCAAAAAGAAGGGAAUGAAAUUGUUAAGUAAUGGUUUUCACGUCCGGGGGAGCUGGCUCCACUCCUGUGUUUCCGGCUGCUGAACGCUUUCUGCUAUGAGAUUCCUGUGGGUUUUUGUGAAGAGCUCUCGCACCUUCUCCUGCACAGCCCUCACCACUCAGCAAGCAGAAGGGCUGGAUGCUGGGCAGCCACCUUCAUCCCCCUGCCAGGGAGACCUGCUCCUGUCUGGCCAAAGCUGUGAAGGGUUUUGAACCACGGGCUUGAACUCCUCGGGAAAACUUCAGCUACACCCAGAGCAGCAGCUGAACGCAAGCAUCUCAUGCCCAGACUGGGCUUACUGUGGGAAUGACUGGAUGCUGCCAGGGAAAACGGCGGGAGGUGAGGGUGGCCAAGCUAAACAACUGCUGUCUGGGCCCAUGUCGUCCUCUCCUUCCUCCUCCUCCUCCUCCUCGGGAGGACGGCAGGGAGCAGCAGCCCUCCGAUGCGUGGCCAGGGUGGGGACACCCUGCUCAUCUCCCCCAUAGCUGUGGGGUCAGGGACCCCCCUAUGCCUGGGGUUGAGCCUUGGGGCUUUGACUCACCCCCACGAGGACUGAUGCUCGAGUGCUCCUGGCUGCGUGUGCUAGGAAGUGCUUGAGUUGUGGGAAUUUGCAUACAAAAAGCCCAAUGAGCCCUGAUCGAGCGAUAUCUAGGUUGCGGUAUUAAGCAGCCAGCAGCAGACAGUCAAGCUGCGAGUUGAACAUUUCCCUUCUAAAACUGAAACAUUUGGUGGUGUCAUAGGAAUUUCUUAGUAACCUGCUCACACUACUUUUACAGCUUUGCUUGUUGGGUUUCCACCAGCACACUAAAACUGAAUUUCUAUAAUGGCAGGAAGUUUAAUUUCAUACUUUUUUUUAACAUAUAUUUUUACAUACAGUAUUGAGCAGUAUUUACAGAUGCAUUAACUCACCAUUGCCACAUGAAAUUAGUGUGGUUUAUGCUAC